Molecule: ribosomal RNA, 490 nt
Filed under: bacterium Q2(2012)
Lineage: Bacteria
Description: bacterial SSU rRNA
Rfam family: Bacterial small subunit ribosomal RNA
Source: RNAcentral
UUGCUGACGAGCGGCGGACGGGUGAGUAAUGCUUGGGAACAUGCCUUGAGGUGGGGGACAACAGUUGGAAACGACUGCUAAUACCGCAUAAUGUCUACGGACCAAAGGGGGCUUCGGCUCUCGCCUUUAGAUUGGCCCAAGUGGGAUUAGCUAGUUGGUGAGGUAAUGGCUCACCAAGGCAACGAUCCCUAGCUGGUUUGAGAGGAUGAUCAGCCACACUGGAACUGAGACACGGUCCAGACUCCUACGGGAGGCAGCAGUGGGGAAUAUUGCACAAUGGGCGAAAGCCUGAUGCAGCCAUGCCGCGUGUGUGAAGAAGGCCUUCGGGUUGUAAAGCACUUUCAGUCAGGAGGAAAGGGUGUGAGUUAAUACCUCAUAUCUGUGACGUUACUGACAGAAGAAGCACCGGCUAACUCCGUGCCAGCAGCCGCGGUAAUACGGAGGGUGCGAGCGUUAAUCGGAAUUACUGGGCGUAAAGCGUACGCAGGCG